Molecule: ribosomal RNA, 497 nt
Filed under: uncultured bacterium
Lineage: Bacteria
Description: partial 16S ribosomal RNA
Rfam family: Bacterial small subunit ribosomal RNA
Source: RNAcentral
GAUGAACGCUGGCGGCGUGCCUAAUACAUGCAAGUCGAGCGAACAGACGAGGAGCUUGCUCCUCUGACGUUAGCGGCGGACGGGUGAGUAACACGUGGAUACCCUACCUAUAAGACUGGGAUAACUUCGGGAAACCGGAGCUAAUACCAGAUAAUAUAUUGAACCGCAUGGUUCAAUAGUGAAAGACGGUUUUGCUGUCACUUAUAGAUGGAUCCGCGCCGCAUUAGCUAGUUGGUAAGGUAACGGCUUACCAAGGCAACGAUGCGUAGCCGACCUGAGAGGGUGAUCGGCCACACUGGAACUGAGCCACGGUCCAGACUCCUACGGGAGGCAGCAGUAGGGAAUCUUCCGCAAUGGGCGAAAGCCUGACGGAGCAACGCCGCGUGAGUGAUGAAGGUCUUCGGAUCGUAAAACUCUGUUAUUAGGGAAGAACAAAUGUGUAAGUAACUAUGCACGUCUUGACGGUACCUAAUCAGAAAGCCACGGCUAACUACGUG